This 253-nucleotide ribosomal RNA is filed under the name uncultured bacterium. RNAcentral's name for it is "partial 16S ribosomal RNA". It matches the Rfam family "Bacterial small subunit ribosomal RNA", at positions 524 to 776 of the family's 1533-position model. The record is from RNAcentral.
UACGAAGGGGGCUAGCGUUGCUCGGAAUCACUGGGCGUAAAGCGCACGUAGGCGGAUCUUUAAGUCGGGGGUGAAAUCCUGGAGCUCAACUCCAGAACUGCCUUCGAUACUGAGGACCUUGAGUCCGGGAGAGGUGAGUGGAACUGCGAGUGUAGAGGUGAAAUUCGUAGAUAUUCGCAAGAACACCAGUGGCGAAGGCGGCUCACUGGCCCGGUACUGACGCUGAGGCGCGAAAGCUAGGGGAGCAAACGGG